Molecule: ribosomal RNA, 124 nt
Filed under: Aedes albopictus (Asian tiger mosquito)
Lineage: Eukaryota; Metazoa; Arthropoda; Insecta; Diptera; Culicidae
Also listed under: 1 other name
Description: partial 16S ribosomal RNA
Source: RNAcentral
AAUAUAAUUAAAAGACGAGAAGACCCUAUAGAUCUUUAUUUUCGUUAAUUACAAAUUAAAAAGAAUAAUUAAAUUUAUAGUUUAAUAAACAAUUUUACUGGGGUGGUAUUAAAAUUUAAUAAAC